UCUUUAGUCCCAUAUCCAAAUGCAUAAAACGCUUCAUAUUCCUAUUCUUCUUUAUCCAAGUCAAGCUGAUCCGGCUUAAUCCAAGUCAAGCUAAAAAGGUGAACACAAACGGAGCCAAGAGUCUCUCAGGCUAAAAAGGUGAACAUAAAACGCUUCAUAUUGCUUCAGACCCUCAUUUCUUAAAAAAAAAAAAAGAAAACCCGGACAAAACCUCUCUCGACAUACCCUCGAGACACCAUCAAACUGUAGACCCAGACAUUUGUUUGCCAAAAAUUUCAACAGAAAAAAACUGUUACGUUGCAUGCAUGUAUUUGUAGACGAUCAAGCUGCAUUUACAUGUUUCUUCCUUAAUGUGCUAUCUUACGCUCACAAGAUAAUUGCAAGUUAAACUUUCCGAAAAGAGAUUGCAGAUAAACUGUUUGAUGAAAUCCCUGAACCGUUUUCUUUCCCAACAAUGGCCAAUUUGCAGGGUUAGGAACUUAGGUGCCACUGUAACACAUUUCCUGAACCGCCUCCUCUUGUGAAAGUUGGAGCUCUGUGAUUUUCGGCUUCUGCUCGUGCUGGGAUUCGUUCGACGACUUCCGACUUUCAACCCGUGCAAACUAGAAGUACGAGCAUUAACCGGAACAUUGAAGAGAGAGGUGGUUUGGAAGUUGUCAGGCACCAUGAAAGAGUUACUGUUGUUUGCAUAUUCUGACCGAUUUGUACUCUCAGUUUCACUAUCCGGUUUGCUGCUUUUAACUUCAUCCUUUUGAUUUGGGACUUGGACUUGGCCUUGGGCCUUCCUGUUAAGAAGAAGAACAAGAAUUAGGAAUUGUAAACAAAUCGAAAAAAGAAAAAAUGAAUACAAAAUCUAGAUUCUAGAACUCUACCUUCUUCUAAGCCUUCUCCACUUUAGAUGGAGCAUGAAUUGAAUAUUGUCAAGGAGUUGGAAAUAUGCAUAUCUCCACGUCCUCUUGAGAAGCAAAGGGCAACAGAAUCCCAAUAACCCUACAAAGAAACCAAGCA
Molecule: long non-coding RNA, 1008 nt
Organism: Malus domestica (apple)
Lineage: Eukaryota; Viridiplantae; Streptophyta; Magnoliopsida; Rosales; Rosaceae
Source: RefSeq, a predicted model, not a curated record